Molecule: ribosomal RNA, 490 nt
Filed under: uncultured bacterium
Lineage: Bacteria
Description: partial 16S ribosomal RNA
Rfam family: Bacterial small subunit ribosomal RNA
Source: RNAcentral
AUUGAACGCUGGCGGCAGGCCUAACACAUGCAAGUCGAACGGUAACAGGAAGACGCUUGCUUCUUUGCUGACGAGUGGCGGACGGGUGAGUAAUGUCUGGGAAACUGCCUGAUGGAGGGGGAUAACUACUGGAAACGGUAGCUAAUACCGCAUAACGUCGCAAGACCAAGGAGGGGGACCUUCGGGCCUCUUGCCAUCGGAUGUGCCCAGAUGGGAUUAGCUAGUAGGUGGGGUAACGGCUCACCUAGGCGACGAUCCCUAGCUGGUCUGAGAGGAUGACCAGCCACACUGGAACUGAGACACGGUCCAGACUCCUACGGGAGGCAGCAGUGGGGAAUAUUGGACAAUGGGCGCAAGCCUGAUGCAGCCAUGCCGCGUGUGUGAAGAAGGCCUUCGGGUUGUAAAGUACUUUCAGCGGGGAGGAAGGGAGUAAAGUUAAUACCUUGGCUCAUUGACGUUACCCGCAGAAGAAGCACCGGCUAACUCCGUG